CAAGUUUUCAUCCAUUGGUGGUUCCACUUCCAUCAAGCCAUUUCCAGAACCAUGAAGAGUCUCGGUUUGGUUCUAGCUCUCAUGGUAGCCGCGGCCGCCAUGUCGGUUGAAACUGCUCCUUCUGCAACGCUGACCACCCCUAAACCGGCGCCGUACACCCUUGAAUACUCCCAGAACCUGAAGGAAGUUCGUAAGUGCUAUGAUCUCCAUCAUCCCUUAGUUACGUGCUUACGGACGUGAUCUCCAUGAAUUUGCUCGCUAUUCAAGAUAGCUAAACGCUCUCUCUCUCUCUCUCUCUCUCUCCUGUUUCGAUUGUUUUUUUUCUGGUGAACAGCAUGUCCUGCUCCUUGCGACAAGAAGUGCUGUGGCUGCAUCUACUAUCGGUCGACCAUGCCCGAGUGCAUCUUCUGUCACGACAAAUGCCCAGGUGCUUGAUGCAAAAGAUGGAAGACCGUUGCUCAGAUGUUAUCAGAGAGAAUCGCUACCAACCUUAUCUUGACUUGUUCUUGAUAAUAACAGUCUUCUCUCAAAUAAAAACUUAUCCGUUGGCAUGUUCUUGUCCAUGCUGUUUGGUAGUCUACUGUUCUUCUCAGAAGAAUGGAAGCCAUCUAUGAAAGCCAAGGGUGGAAACAUAUGCUAUAUGUUCGAUAUUCCUAUGCAAACAUCUUC
RNAcentral lists this long non-coding RNA (669 nucleotides) under Phoenix dactylifera (date palm). RNAcentral's name for it is "long non-coding RNA (PDAC_LNC000310)". The record is from RNAcentral. Lineage: Eukaryota; Viridiplantae; Streptophyta; Magnoliopsida; Arecales; Arecaceae.